UAGCUAGUAGCAGCAAUAUAGCCCACCUCAUCCAAAAACCACUAAAAUGGUGCCACAAUUUCUGUUCUCAGCUUCUUUUAUUCUAUUCUUCCUUCUUCAUUGCCCUCCAACCCUAGCUCAGUCACCAGCUGCAGCCCCAGCACCACCCGGUCCAACCAAUGUCACCAAAGUCCUAGAAAAAGGUGGUCAGUUCAGCGUUUUUAUCAGGCUUUUGAAAGCCACUCAAGAGGAUGUCACAUUGAAUGGCCAGCUCAACAACACAAACAAUGCUAUAACCAUCUUUGCACCUAGCGAUAACGCAUUUUCAAGUCUCAAAUCAGGCACCCUCAACUCCCUAAGCGAUCAAGAAAAGGCUGAGCUAGUACAGUUUCACAUUAUACCACAAUUUCUAUCAAGUUCCCAGUUCCAGACUGUGAGCAACCCUCUGACCACACAAGCAGGAUCAGGUGGCAGGUUAGAGCUUAAUGUAACCACCACAGGAAACUCUGUGAAUAUAACCACAGGGCUUACAAAUACAAGCGUAUCCGGCACUAUCUACACUGAUAACCAGUUAGCUGUUUAUCAGGUUGACAAGGUGCUUCUUCCUCUUGAUAUCUUUACACCUAAACCUCCUACUCCAGCACCAGCACCUGAAAAGCCAAAGAAGAGAUCCAAAGCUGCAGCGAGUCCAGAAUCUCCUGCGGAUACUUCUGGGGCAGUAAGCUUUACUGUUCUGAACAAUGUUGUGUUCUUUGGAGUUUGCAUGGUUGCAGCAAUAUAUUCUUUGUGACACAGAAGGUUUUGAUGAGGUUAUUGCAUGGAUUGCUCU
This 808-nucleotide long non-coding RNA is filed under the name Populus trichocarpa (black cottonwood). RNAcentral describes it as "long non-coding RNA (PTRI_LNC003533)". The record is from RNAcentral. Lineage: Eukaryota; Viridiplantae; Streptophyta; Magnoliopsida; Malpighiales; Salicaceae.